AAAGAUGAUUUCUCUCCUUUUGGAUUUGCCAGUCAGCUGUCAGAUGAGAGAUAAUAGAUGUGAUGACUUUUUAUAUAGGAUAAAUUUUACAGUCAAGGAUCAAAGACUGCAACUGUCCAUAAACUGGCAAUUGUCAAUGAGAUCUGAUAUGCAGAAAUGUAGGUGAUGUCACGCUACAUAUUUUGGAAGGACAGAAAGCACUUUUAAGUAACUCUGUAUUGAUGCACCUGGGAAACAAUGUUUAAACAGCUUCCAGGUAUGAUAGCAUGGCUUUUUCCCUUCCCAGCUUUUGGCUCAAAGGCCACA
This 306-nucleotide long non-coding RNA is filed under the name Dromaius novaehollandiae (emu). Its description in RNAcentral is "lncRNA (ENSDNVG00000009004.1)". The record is from RNAcentral. Lineage: Eukaryota; Metazoa; Chordata; Aves; Casuariiformes; Dromaiidae.